Molecule: ribosomal RNA, 448 nt
Filed under: Sceloporus dugesii (Duges' spiny lizard)
Lineage: Eukaryota; Metazoa; Chordata; Lepidosauria; Squamata; Phrynosomatidae
Description: partial 16S ribosomal RNA
Rfam family: Bacterial large subunit ribosomal RNA
Source: RNAcentral
UUCAACGGCCGCGGUAUCCUAACCGUGCAAAGGUAGCGUAAUCACUUGUCCCUUAAAUAGGGACCAGUAUGAACGGCUAAAUGAGGAUAAAUCUGUCUCCCUUAACAAAUCAGUGAAACUGAUCCACCAGUACAAAAGCUGGUAUAACCCCAUAAGACGAGAAGACCCUGUGGAGCUUUAAAUUUGACCCAAACAAUAAGACACAAAUUGACACAUGGCUAAAAAUUUUAAGUUGGGGCGACUUCGGAAAAAAACUAAACUUCCGAGCAUAAGACUACGUCAUAUCAAGACAUACAAGUCGAAACUAAAAUUGACCCAGUAACACUGACAACCGAACCAAGUUACCCCAGGGAUAACAGCGCAAUCUUCUUCAAGAGUUCCUAUCGACAAGAAGGUUUACGACCUCGAUGUUGGAUCAGGACACCCAAAUGGUGUAGCCGCUAUUAAA